UACAGAGGUCUCAAGCGUUGUUCGGAUUCAUUGGGCGUAAAGGGCGCGUAGGCGGCGGGGUAAGUCGGGUGUGAAAUCUCAGAGCUCAACUCUGAAACUGCACUCGAUACUGCUCUGCUUGAGGACUGGAGAGGAGACUGGAAUUCACGGUGUAGCAGUGAAAUGCGUAGAUAUCAGGAGGAACACCGGUGGUGAAAACGAGUCUCUGGUCCGCUUCUGACGCUCAGGUGCGAAAGCUAGGGGAGCAAACGGG
RNAcentral lists this ribosomal RNA (253 nucleotides) under uncultured bacterium. RNAcentral's name for it is "partial 16S ribosomal RNA". It matches the Rfam family "Bacterial small subunit ribosomal RNA", at positions 524 to 776 of the family's 1533-position model. The record is from RNAcentral.